RNAcentral lists this long non-coding RNA (749 nucleotides) under Manihot esculenta (cassava). Its description in RNAcentral is "long non-coding RNA (MESC_LNC006701)". The record is from RNAcentral. Lineage: Eukaryota; Viridiplantae; Streptophyta; Magnoliopsida; Malpighiales; Euphorbiaceae.
AGACCAGAGGAACCAGAGAGAGCAGCAGUGAGUACUGCUCCAGAGGUUCAGAACCUGCAAAGUCAGUCAGUCCAGAUAGCCAGAGGUGAGUGGAACUAAACUUAUGACUUUUAAUUGAACUACAAACUGCUUUUAGCAUAUCUCAUGCAUCAUGUUUAUGCCAUAGGUUGAUUGCAUUAGUCACGAAUAUGUUGCAUUGCAUUGUUAUUUGGUGAUGUGAGUGAAUGCUGAAUGAUCCAAUAGUCUCAGACAGGAAGUCCAGGAGCCUUUGACUACGCCCUGGCAGGUAUAGUGAAGUCCAGGAGCCUUUGACUACGCCCUGGCAGGUAUAUAUAUAGUAAAGUCCAGGAGCCUUUGACUACGCCCUGGCAAUGGUAAGUACACAGGUGUUAUAUACACAUAUACAUAUAUGACAGGAAGUCCAGGAGCCUUUGACUACGCCCUGGCACAGAGUUACUGGGACUAUGUGGUGACAGGUUUACUCUUGAUGUGGCUUGUCUGUGAUAUGGUGCAUUCCAUGAAAUCAUAUUUUACUGAGAUGUUUUACUGUUCUACUCACUGGGCUAUAGAGCUCAUCCCACUCCCUUAACCCCAGUUUUGCAGGUUCAGUGUACAGUGUACAGGGACAGUCCAGCAGAGUACAGGAAAAGUGAAGAGAUCUGUAAUAGCUUAGAGUGGACAUGUAAUAUUAAAGAGAUGUAAUAGUUGUUGCUUGACCUAGACCUAGUGAUGUAUGUUUUGUACAUGAU